RNAcentral lists this ribosomal RNA (949 nucleotides) under Microbacterium sp. RNAcentral describes it as "bacterial SSU rRNA". It matches the Rfam family "Bacterial small subunit ribosomal RNA", at positions 79 to 1038 of the family's 1533-position model. The record is from RNAcentral. Lineage: Bacteria; Bacillati; Actinomycetota; Actinomycetes; Micrococcales; Microbacteriaceae.
CUUGCUCUGUGGGAUCAGUGGCGAACGGGUGAGUAACACGUGAGCAACCUGCCCCUGACUCUGGGAUAAGCGCUGGAAACGGCGUCUAAUACUGGAUACGAGUAGCGACCGCAUGGUCAGUUACUGGAAAGAUUUAUUGGUUGGGGAUGGGCUCGCGGCCUAUCAGCUUGUUGGUGAGGUAAUGGCUCACCAAGGCGUCGACGGGUAGCCGGCCUGAGAGGGUGACCGGCCACACUGGGACUGAGACACGGCCCAGACUCCUACGGGAGGCAGCAGUGGGGAAUAUUGCACAAUGGGCGCAAGCCUGAUGCAGCAACGCCGCGUGAGGGAUGACGGCCUUCGGGUUGUAAACCUCUUUUAGCAGGGAAGAAGCGAAAGUGACGGUACCUGCAGAAAAAGCGCCGGCUAACUACGUGCCAGCAGCCGCGGUAAUACGUAGGGCGCAAGCGUUAUCCGGAAUUAUUGGGCGUAAAGAGCUCGUAGGCGGUUUGUCGCGUCUGCUGUGAAAUCCGGAGGCUCAACCUCCGGCCUGCAGUGGGUACGGGCAGACUAGAGUGCGGUAGGGGAGAUUGGAAUUCCUGGUGUAGCGGUGGAAUGCGCAGAUAUCAGGAGGAACACCGAUGGCGAAGGCAGAUCUCUGGGCCGUAACUGACGCUGAGGAGCGAAAGGGUGGGGAGCAAACAGGCUUAGAUACCCUGGUAGUCCACCCCGUAAACGUUGGGAACUAGUUGUGGGGUCCAUUCCACGGAUUCCGUGACGCAGCUAACGCAUUAAGUUCCCCGCCUGGGGAGUACGGCCGCAAGGCUAAAACUCAAAGGAAUUGACGGGGACCCGCACAAGCGGCGGAGCAUGCGGAUUAAUUCGAUGCAACGCGAAGAACCUUACCAAGGCUUGACAUAUACGAGAACGGGCCAGAAAUGGUCAACUCUUUUGGACACUCGUAAACAGG